RNAcentral lists this ribosomal RNA (375 nucleotides) under uncultured Glomeromycotina. Its description in RNAcentral is "eukaryotic LSU rRNA". Lineage: Eukaryota; Fungi; Glomeromycota. The record is from RNAcentral.
UUGAAAGGGAAACGAUUGAAGUCAGUCAUACCAACGGGAAAUCAACCUUUUGAGCUCGGUCUCGUGGGUUUUGAAGAGUUUCAAAGCCUUCGGAUUCGCGAGAUUAGGAUCUCUUGGUGUACUUUUUCGUACGGUUAGUCAACAUCGGUUUUGAAUGUCAUAAAAUGACCGGAGGAAUGUAGCUUCGAUCUCGUAUUGAAGUGUUAUAGCCUUUGGUAGAUGUGGUGUUUGAGACCGAGGAUUGCAACGGAUACCCUUCAGGGCUAUUCGUCUGAUCUCUGAUACGUUGCCUUGAUGUUGAAAGCUUGCUUAUGAUGUUAGGGUAUUACGGUCAAAAGGUUAGAACGAAUUACAUUCGUUAAGGAUGUUGACGUA